RNAcentral lists this transfer RNA (66 nucleotides) under Sarcophaga peregrina. Its description in RNAcentral is "tRNA-Phe". It matches the Rfam family "tRNA". Rfam says of the family: Transfer RNA (tRNA) molecules are approximately 80 nucleotides in length. Their secondary structure includes four short double-helical elements and three loops (D, anti-codon, and T loops). The record is from RNAcentral. Lineage: Eukaryota; Metazoa; Arthropoda; Insecta; Diptera; Sarcophagidae. RNAcentral also lists the same sequence under 3 other names.
AUUCAAAUAGCUUAUAGUUAGAGUAUGACACUGAAGAUGUUAGGGAGAUAAAUUUAUCUUUGAAUA